RNAcentral lists this transfer RNA (75 nucleotides) under Candidatus Moranbacteria bacterium RBG_13_45_13. RNAcentral describes it as "tRNA-Asp". It matches the Rfam family "tRNA". Rfam says of the family: Transfer RNA (tRNA) molecules are approximately 80 nucleotides in length. The record is from RNAcentral. Lineage: Bacteria; Candidatus Moraniibacteriota.
GGACCGGUAGCUCAGCCCGGUUAGAGCACCUGCCUGUCACGCAGGGGGUCGCGGGUUCAAAUCCCGUCCGGUCCG